Molecule: long non-coding RNA, 3047 nt
Filed under: Homo sapiens (human)
Lineage: Eukaryota; Metazoa; Chordata; Mammalia; Primates; Hominidae
Description: HSALNT0357124
Source: RNAcentral
GUCUUCCUACCCAGCGCCGCGGCUCUCGGAGGCUGCCAGUGGCUGGGUGCGCCUGGCCUGAGUCCUCCACCCGAAGAAAAUAAGGAACCUGGCCAGAGAGAGGCAAAAGGAAGAGUCUGCUCCUCAUGUUCCUUCUUGCUGUGGUUUUACCCUCGCCACUUAUUUCGUGGUCAUUCAUUGGUGAGUAUUUGAGCAACGUUCAUAACAUGACUGGGGGCCCUUGACAGUGAUCGGAUGUGCGGAAACGUAGGUAAAAGCUCACUCAACAGUGAGCGAGACUUCACUGGAUUAAAAAAAUAGUCCAUUUCCUUUUUUUUUUUAACUUUUACUUUCAGUUCAGGGGUACAUGUGCAGGUUUGUUACAUAGGUAAACUUGUGUCAUGGGGUUUGCUGUACAGAUGAUUUCAUCACCCAGGUAUUAAGCCUAGUACCCAUUAGUUAUUUCUCCUGAUCCUCUCCCUCCUUCCACCUUCCAUCCUCUGAUAGGAACCAGUGUAUGUUGUUCCCCUCUAUGUGCCCAUAUGUUCCCAUCAUUUAGCUCCCACUUAUAAGCGAGAACAUGCAGUAUUUAAUUUUCUCUUCCUGUGCUAGUUUGCUAAGGAUGAUGGCCUCCAGCUCCAUCCAUGUCUCUGCAAAAGACAUGAUCUCAUUCUUUUUUAUGGCUGCAUGGUUGUCCGUGGUGUGUAUGUACCACAUUUUCUUUAUCCAGUCUACCAUUGAUGGGCAUUUAGUAGAUUCCAUGUCUUUGCUAUUGUGAACAGUGCUGCAAUCAUAUGAAAAAAGCUUAAUAUUACUGAUCAUUAGAGAAAUGCAAAUCAAAACCACAAUGAGAUACCAUCUCACACCAGUCAGAGUGGCUAUUAUUAAAAAGUCAAAAAAUAACAGAUGCUGGCGAGGUUGCAGAGAAAAAGGAAUGUUUUUACACUGUUGGCAGGAGAGCAAAUUAAUUCACUAGUUGUUGAAGACAGUGUGGCAAUUCCUCAAAGGCCUAAAAACAGAAAUAUCAUUUGACUCAGCAAUCCCAUUACUGGAUAUAUACCUAACGGAAUGUAAAUUUUUCUAUUAUAAAGACACAUGCACACAUAUUGGCCGGGCGUGAUGGCUUACACCUCUAAUCCCAGCACUUUGGGAGGCUGAGGCAGGCAGAUCAUUUGAGGUCAGGAGUUCGAGACCAGCCUGGCCAACAUGGCUAAACCUCAUCUCUACUAAAAAUACAAAAAUUAGUCAGGCAUGGUGGUGCAUGCCUGUUGUCUCAGCUACUCAGGAGGCUGAGGUGGGAGGAUUGCUUGAACCCAGGAAACAGAGGUUGCAGUGAGCCGAGAUCAUGCCACUGCACUCCAGCCUGGGUGACAGAGUAAGACUCUGUCUCAAAAAAAAAAAAAAAAAAAAAGACACAUGCAUCUAUGGUCCAUUUACUUUUGCCUGUUCAAUGAGAUAACCAAUUGUGCCACUAGCAAGAAUGAAGCUAGUUCUUCUCAAAUGCUCAGCUUUGUGCUUCGAAAAUGAGAAGAGACACAGGCCCUGCCUCCCUGAGAACACCUCUUGACAAAUGGAUUUCUGAAAAGGAAUUCAUUCAGUUAUUCAACACAGAUGUUUACGUGCCAGAUACUAUUGUAGGCAUUUGAGAUACAGCAGUGACCAAAACAGACAUCAAUCCCUGCCCUGGUGAACAUUCGUCCAAGUUGUGCACAAAUACAUUUUUAUUAAUGAAAGGAGGUUUUUCAACUCCCAGGGGGUGACUGUUACUUAAGGAAAGCUGACUGUGGAUUCUUCUCUUCUUCUUUUUAUUUAUUUAUUUAUUUAUUUGAGACAGAGUCUCACUCUGUUGCCCAGGCUAGAGUACAGUGGCACGAUCUCAGCUCACUGCAGCCUCUGCCUCCUGGGUUCAAGUGAUUCUCCUGCCUUAGCCUCCCAAGUGGCUGGGAUUACAGGCAUACGCCAUCAUACCAGGCUAAUUUUUGUAUUUUUAGUAGAAACAGGGUUUCACUAUGUUGGCCAGCCUGGUCUCGAACUCCUGGCCUCAAGUGAUCCACCCACCUCGGCCUCCCAAAGUGCUCGGAUUACAGGCAUGAGCCACUGCACCUGGCCGGAUUCUUAUCUUCUCUUAAGAAAAGACCCUUUCUGUGCCCAUGCCAGGGGUCCCCUGGUGAUGGGAGGCAGUAGAGGUUGCUGAUCAGUGGCCAUGGAGGACCAGGUGACCAAAAGCUGGGAGGCAAGAAGGCAGUAGGGUGCAGGACUGAGGCUCCAAUCCUGGUGCACGUUCCAUUGUCCCGCUGGACUUCGCUUACAAAACACAAAUUCAAGGUUGGGCAUGGUGGCUUGCGCCUAUAGUCCCAUCCACUUGGGAGGCUGAGGCUGGAGGAUCACUUGUGCCCAGGAGGUGCAGGCUGCAGUGAGCCAUGGGUGCAACACUGUUCUCCAGCCUGAGUAACAGACCAUGACCUUGGCUUCAAAACAAACCAACAAACAAAACAUAAAGUCAAAGAUCAAAUUAGUAAGAUUUUAAAUGAAUAAUUAAUUAAACCCCAAGUGCUAGGGGAAUGUGAAAACUUCCAAAUGCUGGGACUUUCUGAACAUGUGGGGCCCUGAGUGACUAUCCCGGUUACUCAAGCUGGCCCUGCCCAGAGCUGUUAACUGGUAUGUUCUACAGGGAUGGUAUCUCUCUUCCUACCUUGCAGCUAUGCUGUGAAGAGUAAGAGGAAGUAUUCUGAAAAGUGCAAGGUCUUAUACUGAGAAAGGCACAGAAGCAACACUGCAAAUAUCACAAAUCUCCAGCACCGUAUGCUGUUACUCUGAGCUGGAUUUUUUGUUCUUUUGUUUGCAUAGAUUAUUCUGCUUUUAAUCUUCAAAAUCUGCGCAUGAAAGGGGACUGCACAGAAUUUUUUUUUUCUUUUUGAGAUGGAAUCUCAUUCUGUCUGUCACUCAGGCUGGUGUGUGCAGUGGCAAGAUAUAGGCUCACGGCAACCUCUGCCUCCCUGGUUCCAGCGAUUCUCCUGCCUCAGCCUCCUAAGUAGCUGGGAUUACAGGCAUGGGUCACCACACCUGGC